This is a long non-coding RNA of Labrus mixtus (cuckoo wrasse), 268 nucleotides long. RefSeq lists it as uncharacterized. The record is from RefSeq and is a predicted model, not a curated record. The transcript is spliced from 2 exons. Lineage: Eukaryota; Metazoa; Chordata; Actinopteri; Labriformes; Labridae.
CAGACGGAUCAUCUCUGAUCACGUUCAGGUACGCAGCAGGUUUUCCAUCGCAGGAGUAAAGUCCAGAGUCAGCAGCCUGAAGGGUGAGGACAGGGUAAAGUGAUUGAUUUCUCCUGCUCGACUAUUUUAUGGAUGAUUGCUGCAACAGAAACAUAACGUUAGAUACAAAGACUCGGCUGUCAGGAUGUCUGUAUUCUUAAAAUUGCAAGCAACUAAAAUGUGGUUUGAAACCAGUUUCAGAAUCACAUUUAACUUUCUCUUCAUCAAA